Molecule: transfer RNA, 72 nt
Filed under: Camelus dromedarius (Arabian camel)
Lineage: Eukaryota; Metazoa; Chordata; Mammalia; Artiodactyla; Camelidae
Also listed under: 1 other name
Rfam family: tRNA
About the family: Transfer RNA (tRNA) molecules are approximately 80 nucleotides in length. Their secondary structure includes four short double-helical elements and three loops (D, anti-codon, and T loops). Further hydrogen bonds mediate the characteristic L-shaped molecular structure. tRNAs have two regions of fundamental functional importance: the anti-codon, which is responsible for specific mRNA codon recognition, and the 3' end, to which the tRNAs corresponding amino acid is attached (by aminoacyl-tRNA synthetases). tRNAs cope with the degeneracy of the genetic code in two manners: having more than one tRNA (with a specific anti-codon) for a particular amino acid; and 'wobble' base-pairing, i.e. permitting non-standard base-pairing at the 3rd anti-codon position.
Source: Rfam by way of RNAcentral
GAGGGUAUAGCUUAGUGGUAGAGUGCAUGCCUAGCAUGCACAAGGUCCUGGGUUCAAUCCUCAGUACCUCCA